UGAUGGCGUGCCUUUUGUAGAAUGAACCGGCGAGUUACGAUCUGAUGCAAGGUUAAGCAGAAAAUGUGGAGCCGUAGCGAAAGCGAGUCUGAAUAGGGCGAAUGAGUAUUUGGUCGUAGACCCGAAACCAGGUGAUCUACCCUUGGUCAGGUUGAAGUUCAGGUAACACUGAAUGGAGGACCGAACCGACUUACGUUGAAAAGUGAGCGGAUGAACUGAGGGUAGCGGAGAAAUUCCAAUCGAACUUGGAGAUAGCUGGUUCUCUCCGAAAUAGCUUUAGGGCUAGCCUCAAGUGAUGAUUAUUGGAGGUAGAGCACUGUUUGGACGAGGGGCCCCUCUCGGGUUACCGAAUUCAGACAAACUCCGAAUGCCAAAUAAUUUAACUUGGGAGUCAGAAUGUGGGUGAUAAGGUCCAUAUUCGAAAGGGAAACAGCCCAGACCACCAGCUAAGGUCCCAAAAUAUAUGUUAAGUGGAAAAGGAUGUGGCGUUGCCCAGACAACUAGGAUGUUGGCUUAGAAGCAGCCAUCAUUUAAAGAGUGCGUAAUAGCUCACUAGUCGAGUGACACUGCGCCGAAAAUGUACCGGGGCUAAACAUAUUACCGAAGCUGUGGAUUGUCCUUUGGACAAUGGUAGGAGAGCGUUCUAAGGGCGUUGAAGCAUGAUCGCAAGGACAUGUGGAGCGCUUAGAAGUGAGAAUGCCGGUGUGAGUAGCGAAAGACGGGUGAGAAUCCCGUCCACCGAUUGACUAAGGUUUCCAGAGGAAGGCUCGUCCGCUCUGGGUUAGUCGGGUCCUAAGCUGAGGCCGACAGGCGUAGGCGAUGGAUAACAGGUUGAUAUUCCUGUACCACCAUUAUUCGUUUUAAGCGAUGGGGGGACGCAGUAGGAUAGGCGAAGCGUGCUGUUGGAGUGCACGUCCAAGCAGUGAGAUUGAGUGUUAGGCAAAUCCGGCACUCUUAAGAUUGAGCUGUGAUGGGGAGAGGAACUUGUUCCUCGAGUCGUUGAUUUCACACUGCCGAGAAAAGCCUCUAGCUAGAAUAACGGUGCCCGUACCGCAAACCGACACAGGUAGUCAAGAUGAGAAUUCUAAGGUGAGCGAGCGAACUCUCGUUAAGGAACUCGGCAAAAUGACCCCGUAACUUCGGGAGAAGGGGUGCUCUUUGAGGUUCACGCUUCGAAGAGCCGCAGUGAAUAGGCCCAAGCGACUGUUUAUCAAAAACACAGGUCUCUGCUAAACCGUAAGGUGACGUAUAGGGGCUGACGCCUGCCCGGUGCUGGAAGGUUAAGAGGAGUGGUUAGCGCAAGCGAAGCUACGAAUCGAAGCCCCAGUAAACGGCGGCCGUAACUAUAACGGUCCUAAGGUAGCGAAAUUCCUUGUCGGGUAAGUUCCGACCCGCACGAAAGGCGUAACGAUUUGGGCACUGUCUCAACGAGAGACUCGGUGAAAUCAUAGUACCGGUGAAGAUGCCGGUUACCCGCGACAGGACGGAAAGACCCCGUGGAGCUUUACUGUAGCCUGAUAUUGAAAUUCGGUACAGUUUGUACAGGAUAGGUAGGAGCCUUAGAAGCGUGAGCGCUAGCUUACGUGGAGGCAUUGGUGGGAUACUACCCUAAUUGUAUUGGAUUUCUAACCCGCAGCACUUAUCGUGCUGGGAGACAGUGUCAGGCGGGCAGUUUGACUGGGGCGGUCGCCUCCUAAAGAGUAACGGAGGCGCUCAAAGGUUCCCUCAGAAUGGUUGGAAAUCAUUCAUAGAGUGUAAAGGCAUAAGGGAGCUUGACUGCGAGACCUACAAGUCGAGCAGGGUCGAAAGACGGACUUAGUGAUCCGGUGGUUCCGCAUGGAAGGGCCAUCGCUCAACGGAUAAAAGCUACCCCGGGGAUAACAGGCUUAUCUCCCCCAAGAGUUCACAUCGACGGGGAGGUUUGGCACCUCGAUGUCGGCUCAUCGCAUCCUGGGGCUGUAGUCGGUCCCAAGGGUUGGGCUGUUCGCCCAUUAAAGCGGUACGCGAGCUGGGUUCAGAACGUCGUGAGACAGUUCGGUCCCUAUCCGUCGUGGGCGUAGGAAAUUUGAGAGGAGCUGUCCUUAGUACGAGAGGACCGGGAUGGACAUACCUCUGGUGUACCAGUUGUCGUGCCAACGGCAUAGCUGGGUAGCUAUGUAUGGACGGGAUAAGUGCUGAAAGCAUCUAAGCAUGAAGCCCCCCUCGAGAUGAGAUUUCCCAACUUCGGUUAUAAGAUCCCUCAAAGAUGAUGAGGUGAAU
Molecule: ribosomal RNA, 2259 nt
Filed under: Staphylococcus pseudintermedius
Lineage: Bacteria; Bacillati; Bacillota; Bacilli; Caryophanales; Staphylococcaceae
Description: partial 23S ribosomal RNA
Rfam family: Bacterial large subunit ribosomal RNA
Source: RNAcentral